GAAGACGGUGAGACUUUGUGUUCUU
This 25-nucleotide non-coding RNA is filed under the name Rattus norvegicus (Norway rat). The record is from RNAcentral. Lineage: Eukaryota; Metazoa; Chordata; Mammalia; Rodentia; Muridae.